Molecule: ribosomal RNA, 123 nt
Filed under: uncultured bacterium
Lineage: Bacteria
Description: partial 16S ribosomal RNA
Source: RNAcentral
UAACACAUGCAAGUCGAACGAUAAAAUUGUUUGCGAGGGUCAGAGGUGAUGACGGACGUGAAAGCUAUUGGUCUCCCCAGUAACAAGUCUUUAAAGAGAUAUUGAAAAGCCAAUAAGACUGUA